AACUCAUUGACAUGAUCCAAUCCUCUUGGGCUCACAAAUAGGUGCCCCAUUAAAAUUAAAAUAGAUUUAGAUUAGACUUAAAUCAUAGGCUAUGGCUUAGGUUUCCUUCAUCUUUUCUUUUCUUAUUCUUUCUUUGGAGUAAACAAAAUAUAUCCUUCUUUGAAAAGUUAUGAUAGGCCUAAUACCCUAUGAAGGAACC
This 199-nucleotide long non-coding RNA is filed under the name Elaeis guineensis (African oil palm). RNAcentral's name for it is "long non-coding RNA (EGUI_LNC049066)". Lineage: Eukaryota; Viridiplantae; Streptophyta; Magnoliopsida; Arecales; Arecaceae. The record is from RNAcentral.